This 2921-nucleotide ribosomal RNA is filed under the name Streptococcus pneumoniae. Its description in RNAcentral is "bacterial LSU rRNA". It matches the Rfam family "Bacterial large subunit ribosomal RNA". Lineage: Bacteria; Bacillati; Bacillota; Bacilli; Lactobacillales; Streptococcaceae. The record is from RNAcentral.
UUAAGUUAGAAAGGGCGCACGGUGGAUGCCUUGACACUAGGAGUCGAUGAAGGACGGGACUAACGCCGAUAUGCUUCGGGGAGCUGUAAGUAAGCUUUGAUCCGAAGAUUUCCGAAUGGGGAAACCCACCAUACGUAAUGGUAUGGUAUCCUUAUCUGAAUACAUAGGGUAAGGAAGACAGACCCAGGGAACUGAAACAUCUAAGUACCUGGAGGAAGAGAAAGCAAAUGCGAUUUCCUGAGUAGCGGCGAGCGAAACGGAACAUAGCCCAAACCAAGAGGCUUGCCUCUUGGGGUUGUAGGACAUUCUAUACGGAGUUACAAAGGAACGAGGUAGACGAAGCGACCUGGAAAGGUCCGUCGUAGAGGGUAACAACCCCGUAGUCGAAACUUCGUUCUCUCUUGAAUGUAUCCUGAGUACGGCGGAACACGUGAAAUUCCGUCGGAAUCUGGGAGGACCAUCUCCCAAGGCUAAAUACUCCCUAGUGAUCGAUAGUGAACCAGUACCGUGAGGGAAAGGUGAAAAGCACCCCGGAAGGGGAGUGAAAGAGAUCCUGAAACCGUGUGCCUACAAAUAGUCAGAGCCCGUUAACGGGUGAUGGCGUGCCUUUUGUAGAAUGAACCGGCGAGUUACGAUCCCGUGCGAGGUUAAGCUGAAGAGGCGGAGCCGCAGCGAAAGCGAGUCUGAAUAGGGCGUUUAGUACGUGGUCGUAGACCCGAAACCAGGUGAUCUACCCAUGUCCAGGGUGAAGUUCAGGUAACACUGAAUGGAGGCCCGAACCCACGCACGUUGAAAAGUGCGGGGAUGAGGUGUGGGUAGCGGAGAAAUUCCAAUCGAACCUGGAGAUAGCUGGUUCUCCCCGAAAUAGCUUUAGGGCUAGCCUUAAGUGUAAGAGUCUUGGAGGUAGAGCACUGAUUGGACUAGGGGUCCUCAUCGGAUUACCGAAUUCAGUCAAACUCCGAAUGCCAAUGACUUAUCCUUAGGAGUCAGACUGCGAGUGAUAAGAUCCGUAGUCAAAAGGGAAACAGCCCAGACCGCCAGCUAAGGUCCCAAAGUGUGUAUUAAGUGGAAAAGGAUGUGGAGUUGCUUAGACAACUAGGAUGUUGGCUUAGAAGCAGCCACCAUUUAAAGAGUGCGUAAUAGCUCACUAGUCGAGUGACUCUGCGCCGAAAAUGUACCGGGGCUAAAUACACCACCGAAGCUGCGGAUUGAUACCGAAUGGUAUCAGUGGUAGGGGAGCGUUCUAAGGACAGUGAAGUCAGACCGUAAGGACUGGUGGAGUGCUUAGAAGUGAGAAUGCCGGUAUGAGUAGCGAAAGACGGGUGAGAAUCCCGUCCACCGAAUGCCUAAGGUUUCCUGAGGAAGGCUCGUCCGCUCAGGGUUAGUCAGGACCUAAGCCGAGGCCGACAGGCGUAGGCGAUGGACAACAGGUUGAUAUUCCUGUACCACCUCUUUAUCGUUUGAGCAAUGGAGGGACGCAGAAGGAUAGAAGAAGCGUGCGAUUGGUUGUGCACGUCCAAGCAGUUAGGCUGAUAAGUAGGCAAAUCCGCUUAUCGUGAAGGCUGAGCUGUGAUGGGGAAGCUCCUUAUGGAGCGAAGUCUUUGAUUCCCCGCUGCCAAGAAAAGCUUCUAGCGAGAUAAAAGGUGCCUGUACCGCAAACCGACACAGGUAGGCGAGGAGAGAAUCCUAAGGUGUGCGAGAGAACUCUGGUUAAGGAACUCGGCAAAAUGACCCCGUAACUUCGGGAGAAGGGGUGCUUUCUUAACGGAAAGCCGCAGUGAAUAGGCCCAAGCGACUGUUUAGCAAAAACACAGCUCUCUGCGAAGCCGUAAGGCGAAGUAUAGGGGGUGACACCUGCCCGGUGCUGGAAGGUUAAGGAGAGGGGUUAGCGUAAGCGAAGCUCUGAACUGAAGCCCCAGUAAACGGCGGCCGUAACUAUAACGGUCCUAAGGUAGCGAAAUUCCUUGUCGGGUAAGUUCCGACCCGCACGAAAGGUGUAACGAUUUGGGCACUGUCUCAACCAGAGACUCGGUGAAAUUAUAGUACCUGUGAAGAUGCAGGUUACCCGCGACAGGACGGAAAGACCCCGUGGAGCUUUACUGUAGCCUGAUAUUGAAUUUUGGUACAGUUUGUACAGGAUAGGCGGGAGCCUUUGAAACCGGAGCGCUAGCUUCGGUGGAGGCGCUGGUGGGAUACCGCCCUGACUGUAUUGAAAUUCUAACCUACGGGUCUUAUCGACCCGGGAGACAGUGUCAGGUGGGCAGUUUGACUGGGGCGGUCGCCUCCUAAAGUGUAACGGAGGCGCCCAAAGGUUCCCUCAGAAUGGUUGGAAAUCAUUCGUAGAGUGCAAAGGCAUAAGGGAGCUUGACUGCGAGACCUACAAGUCGAGCAGGGACGAAAGUCGGGCUUAGUGAUCCGGUGGUUCCGCAUGGAAGGGCCAUCGCUCAACGGAUAAAAGCUACCCCGGGGAUAACAGGCUUAUCUCCCCCAAGAGUCCACAUCGACGGGGAGGUUUGGCACCUCGAUGUCGGCUCAUCGCAUCCUGGGGCUGUAGUCGGUCCCAAGGGUUGGGCUGUUCGCCCAUUAAAGCGGUACGCGAGCUGGGUUCAGAACGUCGUGAGACAGUUCGGUCCCUAUCCGUCGUGGGCGUAGGAAAUUUGAGAGGAGCUGUCCUUAGUACGAGAGGACCGGGAUGGACGCACCGCUGGUGUACCAGUUGUUCUGCCAAGGGCAUAGCUGGGUAGCUAUGUGCGGAAGGGAUAAGUGCUGAAAGCAUCUAAGCAUGAAGCCCCCCUCAAGAUGAGAUUUCCCAUAGCGUAAGCUAGUAAGAUCCCUGAAAGAUGAUCAGGUUGAUAGGUUCGAGGUGGAAGCAUGGUGACAUGUGGAGCUGACGAAUACUAAUAGAUCGAGGACUUAACCAU